RNAcentral lists this ribosomal RNA (429 nucleotides) under Verrucomicrobiota bacterium. RNAcentral describes it as "Verrucomicrobia bacterium partial 16S ribosomal RNA". It matches the Rfam family "Bacterial small subunit ribosomal RNA", at positions 355 to 776 of the family's 1533-position model. Lineage: Bacteria; Pseudomonadati; Verrucomicrobiota. The record is from RNAcentral.
UAGGGAAACUUCCGCAAUGGACGAAAGUCUGACGGAGCAACGCCGCUUGAGUGAAGAAGGAUUUCGGUUCGUAAAACUCUGUUGUUAGGGAAGAAAAAAUGUAUAGUAACUAUAUACAAAAGAGACGGUACCUAACCAGAAAGCCACGGCUAACUACGUGCCAGCAGCCGCGGUAAUACGUAGGUGGCAAGCGUUGUCCGGAAUUAUCAGGCGUAAAGCGCGCGCAGGUGGUUUAGAAAGUCUGAUGUGAAAGCCCACGGCUCAACCGUGGAGGGUGAGUGGAAAAUAAUAAACUUGAGUGCAGGAGAGAAAAGUGGAAUUCCUAGUGUAGCAGGGAAAUGCGUAGAGAGUAGGAGGAACAACGGUGGCGAAAGCGGCUUUGUGGCCUGAAAAUGAACCUGAGGCGCGAAAGCGUGGGGAGCAAAAAGG